AGUCGUCCUUGAAAUACCACCCUUUGUUUAUUUGAAGCCUAACCCCGCAAGGGGGACAGUGCUUGGUGGGUAGUUUGACUGGGGUGGUCGCCUCCAAAAGAGUAACGGAGGCUUCUAAAGGUACCCUCAGCACGCUUGGUAACCGUGCGUAGAGUGCAAUGGCAUAAGGGUGCUUAACUGUGAGACUUACAAGUCGACCAGGUGCGAAAGCAGAGCAUAGUGAUCCGGUGGUUCCGCAUGGAAGGGCCAUCGCUCAAAGGAUAAAAGGUACUCCGGGGAUAA
Molecule: ribosomal RNA, 282 nt
Filed under: Dinophysis acuminata
Lineage: Eukaryota; Dinophyceae; Dinophysales; Dinophysaceae
Description: partial Bacterial large subunit ribosomal RNA
Rfam family: Bacterial large subunit ribosomal RNA
Source: RNAcentral